CGUAGGGCGCAAGCGUUGUCCGGAAUUAUUGGGCGUAAAGAGCUCGUAGGCGGCUUGUCGCGUCGGAUGUGAAAGCCCGGGGCUUAACCCCGGGUCUGCAUUCGAUACGGGCAGGCUAGAGUUCGGUAGGGGAGAUCGGAAUUCCUGGUGUAGCGGUGAAAUGCGCAGAUAUCAGGAGGAACACCGGUGGCGAAGGCGGAUCUCUGGGCCGAUACUGACGCUGAGGAGCGAAAGCGUGGGGAGCGAACAGGAUUAGAUGCCCUGGUAGUCCACGCCGUAAACGUUGGGAACUAGGUGUGGGCGACAUUCCACGUUGUCCGUGCCGCAGCUAACGCAUUAAGUUCCCCGCCUGGGGAGUACGGCCGCAAGGCUA
RNAcentral lists this ribosomal RNA (373 nucleotides) under uncultured organism. RNAcentral describes it as "bacterial SSU rRNA". It matches the Rfam family "Bacterial small subunit ribosomal RNA", at positions 526 to 896 of the family's 1533-position model. The record is from RNAcentral.